Molecule: non-coding RNA, 183 nt
Filed under: Deferribacterales bacterium
Lineage: Bacteria; Pseudomonadati; Deferribacterota; Deferribacteres; Deferribacterales
Description: 6S RNA
Rfam family: 6S / SsrS RNA
About the family: E. coli 6S RNA was the first non coding RNA to be sequenced, but its function was unknown until recently. It consists of 184 nucleotides that fold into an extended hairpin structure with a large single-stranded internal bulge. The 6S RNA specifically associates with RNA polymerase holoenzyme containing the sigma70 specificity factor.
Source: RNAcentral
UAGCCCCUGAAUUGUUCGUGAUGAAGUAGGAAAUUUGGAGCCAACACCUCUAAAAAAUGGGAUGAUACUAGGUGUGGUGUGCAGGCCUACCUUGUAGUAGGAAGCCUAAAGCACCUGUGAUUCCCCUAAUCCUGGUUAGCCAGGGCUGCAAAUGGACUACCAACACGGCAACUCGGGGGUUUU